This 253-nucleotide ribosomal RNA is filed under the name uncultured bacterium. RNAcentral's name for it is "partial 16S ribosomal RNA". It matches the Rfam family "Bacterial small subunit ribosomal RNA", at positions 524 to 776 of the family's 1533-position model. The record is from RNAcentral.
UACGAACCGGACAAACGUUACUCGGCAUCACGGGGCUUAAAGGGUGCGUGGGCGGAGCGGAGGGUGGGAUGUGAAAUCCCCCGGCUCAACCGGGGAAUAGCGUCCCAAACCGCCGUGCUGGAGGAAGACAGGGGUGAGCGGAACUGAUGGUGGAGCGGUGAAAUGCGUUGAUAUCAUCAGGAACACCAGUGGCGAAGGCGGCUCACUGGGUCUUUCCUAACGCUGAGGCACGAAAGCUAGGGGAGCGAACGGG